This 497-nucleotide ribosomal RNA is filed under the name uncultured bacterium. RNAcentral describes it as "partial 16S ribosomal RNA". It matches the Rfam family "Bacterial small subunit ribosomal RNA", at positions 28 to 507 of the family's 1533-position model. The record is from RNAcentral.
GAUGAACGCUGGCGGCGUGCCUAAUACAUGCAAGUCGAGCGAACAGACGAGGAGCUUGCUCCUCUGACGUUAGCGGCGGACGGGUGAGUAACACGUGGAUAACCUACCUAUAAGACUGGGAUAACUUCGGGAAACCGGAGCUAAUACCGGAUAACAUGUUGAACCGCAUGGUUCAACAGUGAAAGACGGUUUUGCUGUCACUUAUAGAUGGAUCCGCGCCGCAUUAGCUAGUUGGUAAGGUAACGGCUUACCAAGGCAACGAUGCGUAGCCGACCUGAGAGGGUGAUCGGCCACACUGGAACUGAGACACGGUCCAGACUCCUACGGGAGGCAGCAGUAGGGAAUCUUCCGCAAUGGGUGAAAGCCUGACGGAGCAACGCCGCGUGAGUGAAGAAGGUCUUCGGAUCGUAAAACUCUGUUAUUAGGGAAGAACAAAUGUGUAAGUAACUAUGCACGUCUUGACGGUACCUAAUCAGAAAGCCACGGCUAACUACGUG